UACGAAGGGUGCAAGCGUUACUCGGAAUUACUGGGCGUAAAGCGUGCGUAGGUGGUUUGUUAAGUCUGUUGUGAAAGCCCCGGGCUUAACCUGGGAACUGCAUUGGUGACUGGCAGGCUUUGAGUGUGGCAGAGGGAGGUAGAAUUCCACGUGUAGCAGUGAAAUGCGUAGAGAUGUGGAGGAAUACCGAUGGCGAAGGCAGCCUCCUGGGCCAACACUGACGCUCAUGCACGAAAGCGUGGGGAGCAAACAGG
This 254-nucleotide ribosomal RNA is filed under the name uncultured bacterium. Its description in RNAcentral is "partial 16S ribosomal RNA". It matches the Rfam family "Bacterial small subunit ribosomal RNA", at positions 524 to 776 of the family's 1533-position model. The record is from RNAcentral.